AUACGGAGGAUCCGAGCGUUAUCCGGAUUUAUUGGGUUUAAAGGGUGCGCAGGCGGCCAUUUAAGUCAGCGGUUAAAUCGUGGGGCUCAACCCCAUUCUGCCGUUGAUACUGGGUGGCUUGAUUGCGGUCGGGGUGGGCGGAAUUCGUUGUGUAGCGGUGAAAUGCAGCGAUAUGACGAAGAACACCGAUUGCGUAGGCAGCUGACCAGAUCGCAAACGACGCUCAUGCACGAAAGUGCGGGGAUCGAACAGGAUUAGAUACCCUGGUAGUCCGCACAGUAAACGAUGAAUACUUGUUUUCGGCGAUAUAAUGUCGGAGGCAAAGCGAAAGCGAUAAGUAUUCCACCUGGGGAGUACGCCGGCAACGGUGAAACUCAAAGGAAUUGACGGGG
This 392-nucleotide ribosomal RNA is filed under the name uncultured bacterium. Its description in RNAcentral is "partial 16S ribosomal RNA". It matches the Rfam family "Bacterial small subunit ribosomal RNA", at positions 523 to 918 of the family's 1533-position model. The record is from RNAcentral.